This 494-nucleotide ribosomal RNA is filed under the name uncultured bacterium. RNAcentral's name for it is "partial 16S ribosomal RNA". It matches the Rfam family "Bacterial small subunit ribosomal RNA", at positions 28 to 507 of the family's 1533-position model. The record is from RNAcentral.
GACGAACGCUGGCGGCGUGCUUAACACAUGCAAGUCGAACGGAAAGGCCUGCUUUCCCUUGUGGUUUGCGGGUACUCGAGUGGCGAACGGGUGAGUAACACGUGAGUGAUCUGCCCCCAACUUGGGUAUAAGCCUGGGAAACUGUGCCUAAUUCUCGAUAGGACCGCAGGGUGGAGCCUGUGGUGGCAAACGUUCUUCUAGUGGUUGGGGAUGAGCCCGCGGCGUAUCAGCUUGAUGGUGGGGUAAUGGCCUACCAAGGCGGGGACGGGUAGCCGGACUGGGAGCGUGCACGGUGGCAUUGAGACAGGGACACGGCUCAGACGCGUGCGAGAAGUAGGAGUGGUGAAUAAAGGGCCGAGAGCCGGAGGCUGAUGCAGCGAGGGCGUGUGGAAGAUGUCGGGAUUGUAGUUGUAUACUACUAGCGACCGAGAGAAAGCCACCUGGUUGUGAGCGUGGUGACGGUACUGGUAGAGGAAGCACCGGCUAACUACGUG